GAAAUGCGAUAAGUAGUGUGAAUUGCAGAAUUCAGUGAAUCAUCGAAUCUUUGAACGCACAUUGCGCCCCUUGGUAUUCCAUGGGGCAUGCCUGUUCGAGCGUCAUUUGUACCCUCAAGCUCUGCUUGGUGUUGGGUGUUUGUCCCGUCUCCGCGCGUGGACUCGCCCCAAAGUGAUUGGCAGCCGGCGUACUGGUCCCGGAGCGCAGCACAUGUCGCGCAAACGAGUGCCUUGGUACGGCGGCGUCCAUAAGCCCCUCUCUCACGCUCUUGACCUCGGAUCAGGUAGGAAGACCCGCUGAACUUAGGC
This 309-nucleotide unclassified non-coding RNA is filed under the name plant metagenome. RNAcentral describes it as "partial contains 5.8S ribosomal RNA, internal transcribed spacer 2, and large subunit ribosomal RNA". The stretch from base 1 to 105 matches the Rfam family "5.8S ribosomal RNA", at positions 50 to 154 of the family's 154-position model. The record is from RNAcentral.